RNAcentral lists this ribosomal RNA (739 nucleotides) under Synechococcus sp. PSU 78. RNAcentral describes it as "bacterial SSU rRNA". It matches the Rfam family "Bacterial small subunit ribosomal RNA", at positions 132 to 903 of the family's 1533-position model. RNAcentral also lists the same sequence under 1 other name. Lineage: Bacteria; Bacillati; Cyanobacteriota; Cyanophyceae; Synechococcales; Synechococcaceae. The record is from RNAcentral.
UCAGGACGGGGAUGACGGCUGGGAAGGGCUGCUAAUACCCUAGAUGCCGAGAGGUGAAGUGAAUUUCGCCUGGGGAUGAGCCCGCGCCUGAUUAGCUAGUUGGUGAGGUAAGAGCUCACCAAGGCAUCGAUCUGUAGCUGGUCUGAGAGGAUGAUCAGCCACACUGGCACCGAGACCCGGCUCAGACCCCUACGGGCGGCAGCAGUGGGGAAUUUUCCGCAAUGGGCGCAAGCCUGACGGAGCAACGCCCCGUGAGGGAUGAAGGCCUCUGGGCUGUAAACCUCUUUUCUCAAGGCAGAAGACCUGACGGUACUUGAGGAAUAAGCCAUGGCUAAUUCCGUGCCAGCAGCCGCGGUAAUCCGGGAGUGCCAAGCGUUAUCCGGAAUUAUUGGGCGUAAAGCGUCCGCAGCCGGCCCUUCAAGUCUGCUGUUAAAACGUGGAGCUUAACUCCAUCAUGGCAGUGGAAACUGUUGGGCUUGAGUGUGGUGGGGGCAGAGGGCAUUCCCGGUGUAGCGGUGAGAUGCGUAGCUAUCGCGAAGAACACCAGUGGCGAAGGCGCUUUGCUGGCCCAUAACUGACGCUCACGGACGAAAGCCAGGGGAGCGAAAGGGAUUAGAUCCCCCUGUAGUCCUGGCCGUAAACGGUGAACACUAGGCGUCGGGGGAAUCGACUCUCUCCGUGUCGUACCCAACGUGUUAAGUGUUUCGCCUGGGGAGUACGCACGCAAGUGUGAAACUCG